RNAcentral lists this ribosomal RNA (487 nucleotides) under uncultured bacterium. RNAcentral's name for it is "SSU rRNA". It matches the Rfam family "Bacterial small subunit ribosomal RNA", at positions 26 to 521 of the family's 1533-position model. The record is from RNAcentral.
AGGACGAACGCUGGCGGCGUGCUUAACACAUGCAAGUCGAACGAAGUCCAUCCGGUAGCAAUACCGGUGAAGGCUUAGUGGCGAACGGGUGAGUAACACGUGAGCAACCUGCCCCGAAGACCGGGAUAACAGCGGGAAACCGCUGCUAAUACCGGAUAUCCCCACCGGAUCGCAUGGUCUGGUGAGGAAAGCCUUUACGCUUCGGGGAGGGACUCGCGGCCUAUCAGCUUGUUGGUGAGGUAACGGCCCACCAAGGCGACGACGGGUAGCUGGUCUGAGAGGACGAUCAGCCACACUGGGACUGAGACACGGCCCAGACUCCUACGGGAGGCAGCAGUGGGGAAUCUUGCGCAAUGGGCGAAAGCCUGACGCAGCAACGCCGCGUGCGGGAUGAAGGCCUUCGGGUUGUAAACCGCUUUCAAGCAGGGACGAUAAUGACGGUACCUGCAGAAGAAGCUCCGGCCAACUACGCGCCAGCAGCCGCGGU